AUGAACGCUGGCGGCGUGCCUAAUACAUGCAAGUCGAGCGCACAGACGAGGAGCUUGCUCCUCUGACGUUAGCGGCGGACGGGUGAGUAACACGUGGAUAACCUACCUAUAAGACUGGGAUAACUUCGGGAAACCGGAGCUAUACCGGAUAAUAUAUUGAACCGCAUGGUUCAAUAGUGAAAGACGGUUUUGCUGUCACUUAUAGAUGGAUCCGCGCCGCAUUAGCUAGUUGGUAAGGUAACGGCUUACCAAGGCAACGAUGCGUAGCCGACCUGAGAGGGUGAUCGGCCACACUGGAACUGAGACACGGUCCAGACUCCUACGGGAGGCAGCAGUAGGGAAUCUUCCGCAAUGGGCGAAAGCUUGACGGAGCAACGCCGCGUGAGUGAUGAAGGUCUUCGGAUCGUAAAACUCUGUUAUUAGGGAAGAACAAAUGUGUAAGUAACUAUGCACGUCUUGACGGUACCUAAUCAGAAAGCCACGGUUAACUACGUG
RNAcentral lists this ribosomal RNA (495 nucleotides) under uncultured bacterium. Its description in RNAcentral is "partial 16S ribosomal RNA". It matches the Rfam family "Bacterial small subunit ribosomal RNA", at positions 29 to 507 of the family's 1533-position model. The record is from RNAcentral.